RNAcentral lists this ribosomal RNA (253 nucleotides) under uncultured bacterium. RNAcentral's name for it is "partial 16S ribosomal RNA". It matches the Rfam family "Bacterial small subunit ribosomal RNA", at positions 524 to 776 of the family's 1533-position model. The record is from RNAcentral.
UACGUAGGGCGCGAGCGUUGUCCGGAUUUAUUGGGCGUAAAGAGCGUGUAGGCGGCUUUACAGGUCCGUUGUGAAAACUCGAGGCUCAACCUCGAGACGCCGGUGGAAACCGUAAGGCUAGAGUCCGGAAGAGGAGAGUGGAAUUCCUGGUGUAGCGGUGAAAUGCGCAGAUAUCAGGAGGAACACCCGUGGCGAAAGCGGCUCUCUGGGACGGUACUGACGCUGAGACGCGAAAGCGUGGGGAGCAAACAGG